UACGUAGGGGCAAGCGUUAUCCGGAAUUAUUGGGCGUAAAGAGUGCGUAGGUGGUUUUGUAAGCGCGGGGUGAAAGGCUAUGGCUCAACCAUAGUAAGCCUUGCGAACUGUGAGACUUGAGUGCAGGAGAGGAAAGUGGAAUUCCUAGUGUAGCGGUGAAAUGCGUAGAUAUUAGGAGGAACACCAGUGGCGAAGGCGACUUUCUGGACUGUAACUGACACUGAGGCACGAAAGCGUGGGGAGCAAACAGGAUUAGAUACCCUGGUAGU
RNAcentral lists this ribosomal RNA (269 nucleotides) under uncultured prokaryote. Its description in RNAcentral is "partial 16S ribosomal RNA". It matches the Rfam family "Bacterial small subunit ribosomal RNA", at positions 524 to 794 of the family's 1533-position model. The record is from RNAcentral.